This 72-nucleotide transfer RNA is filed under the name Wolbachia endosymbiont of Menacanthus eurysternus. Its description in RNAcentral is "tRNA-Gly". It matches the Rfam family "tRNA". From Rfam's summary of the family: Transfer RNA (tRNA) molecules are approximately 80 nucleotides in length. Their secondary structure includes four short double-helical elements and three loops (D, anti-codon, and T loops). Lineage: Bacteria; Pseudomonadati; Pseudomonadota; Alphaproteobacteria; Rickettsiales; Anaplasmataceae. The record is from RNAcentral.
GCGGGUAUAGCUCAAUUGGUAGAGUUCUAGCCUUCCAAGCUAGCGAAGUGGGUUCGAAUCCCACUAUCCGCU